UACGGGGGGGGCAAGCGUUGUUCGGAAUUACUGGGCGUAAAGGGCGCGUAGGCGGUGCUCUAAGUCGGAUGUGAAAACUCUGGGCUCAACCCAGAGCCUGCAUCCGAAACUGGAGUGCUAGAGUUCUGGAGGGGGUAGCGGAAUUCCUGGUGUAGCGGUGAAAUGCGUAUAUAUCAGGAGGAACACCGGUGGCGAAGGCGGCUACCUGGACAGAAACUGACGCUGAGACGCGAAAGCGUGGGGAGCAAACAGG
This 253-nucleotide ribosomal RNA is filed under the name uncultured bacterium. RNAcentral's name for it is "partial 16S ribosomal RNA". It matches the Rfam family "Bacterial small subunit ribosomal RNA", at positions 524 to 776 of the family's 1533-position model. The record is from RNAcentral.